This 459-nucleotide ribosomal RNA is filed under the name uncultured bacterium. RNAcentral describes it as "partial 16S ribosomal RNA". It matches the Rfam family "Bacterial small subunit ribosomal RNA", at positions 338 to 795 of the family's 1533-position model. The record is from RNAcentral.
CCUACGGGUGGCUGCAGUGAGGAAUAUUGGUCAAUGGACGAGAGUCUGAACCAGCCAAGUAGCGUGAAGGAUGAAUGCCCUAUGGGUUGUAAACUUCUUUUAUAAAGGAAUAAAACGAGGCACGUGUGCCUUUUUGCAUGUACUUUAUGAAUAAGGAUCGGCUAACUCCGUGCCAGCAGCCGCGGUAAUACGGAGGAUCCGAGCGUUAUCCGGAUUUAUUGGGUUUAAAGGGUGCGUAGGCGGUCUGUUAAGUCAGCGGUAAAAGCCCGGGGCUCAACCCCGGCGCGCCGUUGAAACUGGCAGUCUUGAGUUGGCGAGAGGUAUGCGGAAUGCGCGGUGUAGCGGUGAAAUGCUUAGAUAUUGCGCAGAACUCCGAUUGCGAAGGCAGCAUACCGGCGCCAAACUGACGCUGAGGCACGAAAGCGUGGGUAUCGAACAGGAUUAGAUACCCUAGUAGUC